Molecule: ribosomal RNA, 242 nt
Filed under: uncultured bacterium
Lineage: Bacteria
Description: partial 16S ribosomal RNA
Rfam family: Bacterial small subunit ribosomal RNA
Source: RNAcentral
GAUGAACGCUGGCGGCGUGCUUAAUACAUGCAAGUCGAACGAGGGUGCCUUGUAGCAAUACGAGGUGUCCCUAGUGGCGAAUGGGUGCGUAACACGUAGGUGACCUGCCCCGAAGUGUGGAAUAACAAUUCGAAAGGACUGCUGAUACCGCAUGUGGUCCCGGAGGUUAGAGGCUCUGGGUCUAAAGCUGCUCGCAAGAGUGGCGCCUCGGGAGGGGCCUGCGGCCCAUCAGGUAGUUGGUA